RNAcentral lists this transfer RNA (65 nucleotides) under Asarkina ericetorum. RNAcentral describes it as "tRNA-Gly". Lineage: Eukaryota; Metazoa; Arthropoda; Insecta; Diptera; Syrphidae. RNAcentral also lists the same sequence under 1 other name. The record is from RNAcentral.
AUUUAUAUAGUAUAAAAGUAUAUAUGACUUCCAAUCAUAAGGUUUAUUAAUUAAUAAUAUAAAUA